This 497-nucleotide ribosomal RNA is filed under the name uncultured bacterium. RNAcentral describes it as "partial 16S ribosomal RNA". It matches the Rfam family "Bacterial small subunit ribosomal RNA", at positions 28 to 507 of the family's 1533-position model. The record is from RNAcentral.
GAUGAACGCUGGCGGCGUGCCUAAUACAUGCAAGUCGAGCGAACAGACGAGGAGCUUGCUCCUCUGACGUUAGCGGCGGACGGGUGAGUAACACGUGGAUCACCUACCUAUAAGACUGGGAUCACCUCGGGAAACCGGCGCUAAUACCGGAUAAUAUAUUGAACCGCAUGGUUCAAUAGUGAAAGACGGUUUUGCUGUCACUUAUAGAUGGAUCCGCGCCGCAUUAGCUAGUUGGUAAGGUAACGGCUUACCAAGGCUACGAUGCGUAGCCGACCUGAGAGGAUGAUCAGCCGCACUGGAAGUGAGACACGGCCCAGACUCCUAGGGGUGGGAGCAAUAGGGAAUCUUCCGCAAGGGGCGGAAGCCUGACGGAACAGCGCCGCGUGAGUGAUGAGGAACUUCGGAUCGGAAAUCACUGUUAUUAGGGAGGAACAAAUGUGUAAGUAACUAGACACGUCUGGGCGGUAACUGGGCAGAGAGCCACGGCUAACUUCGUG